UUCCCCCCAGAAGCCUCUUAGUCAGAAUAAGCUAGGUUAUACGACAGUACCUAACUGCUCUAAAAUCUCAUGGGUGUAAAACAAAGGCUUAUUUCUUGCUCAUGUUCUAUCCCCAAUGUGGUUAGCAGAGAGAUUCUGCUCAUCCUUGUUACUCACAGACCUGGCUGAUGGAGACUCUGCCAUCUUAUGAUGCCACCAUCUCAACAUGAGGCAUCAGGCUUUGUAGCAGCAGGGAAGAGAGCACUGGAGAGGUGAUGACGUCAGCCCAGAAGUGAUAGACAUCACUUCUCAUUAUGUUUCAUUGUGAAAAAGUCUGAAGUACUCACCUGAGCACAUCUCUCUUGAAAGGCAUGGACUUUCCUCCAUGUUCCCAGAAGUAGAAGAUAACCAGACAUAGGAAUAUUUAUAAUGCUGACCACAUGGGGCAAGGAACAUUGAGCAUGCCUAACCCAUGAUGCUAAGCAAAACAAGUGCCCUGAAGUCCCCUAGUUCAUUUUUUUAAAGACCAUUUAUUUGUUUCUCUGAAUUAAUUCAACCUACUUGCAGAGACAGAUUAUGAACCACACAAAAUUGCCAUGGCUGAAUAUUGGCAAUUUCAUAUGGUUCAACAUAAUAAUAUUUAUGGAAUGGUGUACAUGUAUCUAAAAUUGACUUUAUUAAAGAAAUGACUCUCACCAUGAACUGCAUUUUGGGAAGGCAGGGAGUAUAUGAUGCUCUGGUGUGAAAACAGCAUCUUUACAAGAGGGACGCUGGAGAAAGUUGAGAAUAAGCAUCCCCGUCUUCAGUCCCCUUUUCGAGACACAGUGGAUUUAUGUAUAUUUGUUUUAAGAAAGUCACAUUGUAUGACCCCAGGAAAGUGAGAGGAGAGAGGAGCAAAAUCUGGAAGCAUGUUGCUAUCUGAUUCUCUUACAAUUUCCUGUCUUUAUUGUUGGUUUCAUCUCCCUUCCUUCUAUCUCACUUCACCUCUUGGAGAGCUCACACAGUCAGCUUGGUUUCAUUUGGAAAGCUCCAUCCCAGCAGGAUGUCUCUCCCGCCCAGUUGUGUGGAGACUGGCUAUUGUGAUGACUGAACCAAUUAUUCUUAGGGGAUACAGACGCGGACAGGAUCCCUCUGGAGGAAAAUGGAGCCCAAUUGGACAUAGGAUACAAGAUCGGUUUUCAAAGACUAAAUUGUGUCUUGACUAUCUGAUUCAAUGUCAUAUAAUCCUUUUUCAGAAGUACAGCACCAAGUAUUUCCAAAAUUUUUUAAAUUAUAACAGCAAUUAUGUUCUUUUCUUUACACCAUCUAAUCUCAGCAUGGUUAAUGAAACCAAAAAAAAAAAAAGAAAAUAAAUUCAAAAGAAAAACUAGCAAAGGAUGUUAAGCAAAGUUUGGUUUUACUACACUCUAAAUAUUACUAUUUUGAGAUGAAAAUGUUCAUAUUCAAAUGCAGUCACUUUGCACGGAUCAUGAGAUUGUGACCAGACAAUGCAAAUUAGAUCAUCCAGUUAAUCCUACAGGUAUUCACGAUCCUUUAGUCCAAAAGGCCAACAUCUUCUCUUGUGGCCUUUGAUGCUGAGUGUCCAAGGUGGUGUUCUGGGUUGACGCAUGACAAGUUUACGGUUUGCAGCACAAAUCCCCGAAGAAGCAUAAAUUCACAGGCUUAUUAUGCAGGUUUUUCACGUAUGUAAGGGCAUGUGGCUAUGGUUAUCGAGUAGGUGCCUUCAGAGAUAUAAAAAAGAAAAAGAAAACCUUUUACUCCUCCUGAAGAUUCAGGAUUCGGCCCUGCUGGAAUCCUGGCUUGCUUCCUUCCCUCUGAAGGGUCCUCUUCUUUCUUUUCCUCAUCUACUCGUUCCAUUGAAAUCAUGUGUUCCCUCUCCUAACGCAAUAUUUUAUUCACCUGUGCAGAUAACGCCAACUUUAUCAUGAGUCCUGCACCUUCUGGUGCCUGCUAUACUAGUUUUCUAUCGCUGCUGUAACAGCCUGACCCAAAGUUAGCAGCUGAAGACAAUGCAAAUUUAUUAUCUCGGAGUUGUGUGGUUCAGAAGUCAAAGUGGGCUCAGCUGGUUACUGUGCUCAUGGUCUCACAAGGCCAAAAUUAAGGUGCUGGCCAUCCCGGGCUUUCAUCUGGAGAUCCUGAGAGAGAAUCGCAUCUAGGUUCAUUCAGGUGGUUGGCAGAAUCCAGUUCCUCGGGGUUCCAGGACUGAGGUCCCAGUUUCCUCGCUGUCAGCUGUGGGUUGUUCACAGCUCCUAGAUGCUGCCUGUAUUCUCCACCACCUUGUCCCCUCCAUCUUUACAACAGCAACAGUCCACUGUGUCCUUCUCAUGCUUCAGCUCCCUAUGACUUCCCCUUCUGCCAUCUCUCUUCCUCUUCCAAAUUCUCUGCUUUUAAGGGCUCAUGUGAUCCCAUUGGGCCCACCCUGGAUAAACCAGGAUAAUCUCCCUAUUUAAGGUCAGCUGAUGAGUAACCUUAAUUACAUCUAUAGAGUUCCUUUUGCCAUGUAACAUAAUAUAACCAUGGGAG
This 2502-nucleotide long non-coding RNA is filed under the name Equus caballus (horse). RNAcentral's name for it is "lncRNA (ENSECAG00000053180.1)". Lineage: Eukaryota; Metazoa; Chordata; Mammalia; Perissodactyla; Equidae. The record is from RNAcentral.